AUUGAACGCUGGCGGCAGGCCUAACACAUGCAAGUCGAACGGUAACAGGAAACAGCUUGCUGUUUCGCUGACGAGUGGCGGACGGGUGAGUAAUGUCUGGGAAACUGCCUGAUGGAGGGGGAUAACUACUGGAAACGGUAGCUAAUACCGCAUAACGUCGCAAGACCAAAGAGGGGGGCCUUCGGGCCUCUUGCCAUCGGAUGUGCCCAGAUGGGAUUAGCUAGUAGGUGGGGUAACGGCUCACCUAGGCGACGAUCCCUAGCUGGUCUGAGAGGAUGACCAGCCACACUGGAACUGAGACACGGUCCAGACUCCUACGGGAGGCAGCAGUGGGGAAUAUUGCACAAUGGGCGCAAGCCUGAUGCAGCCAUGCCGCGUGUAUGAAGAAGGCCUUCGGGUUGUAAAGUACUUUCAGCGGGGAGGAAGGGAGUAAAGUUAAUACCUUUGCUCAUUGACGUUACCCGCAGAAGAAGCACCGGCUAACUCCGUG
RNAcentral lists this ribosomal RNA (490 nucleotides) under uncultured bacterium. RNAcentral describes it as "partial 16S ribosomal RNA". It matches the Rfam family "Bacterial small subunit ribosomal RNA", at positions 30 to 507 of the family's 1533-position model. The record is from RNAcentral.